Molecule: long non-coding RNA, 717 nt
Filed under: Daucus carota (carrot)
Lineage: Eukaryota; Viridiplantae; Streptophyta; Magnoliopsida; Apiales; Apiaceae
Description: long non-coding RNA (DCAR_LNC005929)
Source: RNAcentral
GAAGGACAUUCUUAACAGCCUCAUUCGACGUGAACCUGGCUGCCCAUCCAACAAGGUUCGGAGUUUUUGCUGGUUCUACCAAUUCCAGGCCACAUAGUUUCCCUGUAGCCUUUAUAAAUUCCAAGCAGCUUCCGAGAGCAAUAUCAAGGUAUCCAAUAUUAUUCCCUCCGAAGUAGGCCUUCCCUUCGCUAAUUUUUGUAAACGCCUCUUCCAAAAGCACCAAUCCUUCCCCUAUUCUCUCUUUGAUUGCCGCCUUCCCCUCUUCUGGGGCAACUAUGAGCUCCUUUAACAUUGGAACCAUCUGCAAAUAUUCAAAGAAAAUGACACUAAUCUUAGAUGUACAACUAAGGCGUGCCAUGGGCAGUGGCGGAUCUAGGAUUCAAAUCUUGAGUGGUUACUAAGCAAAUUUUCGUAAAACACCUAUAUAUUUUAAAUUUUAGGAAAUACUUCUGUAAUUUUGUAAAAUUUAGAAUACUAAAAAAAUGUCGAAAAAAUUUUAGAAAAACAACUGUCACCCGUGCCUCUAACUAAAUCCGUCUCUGGUCAUAAACAACAAUUGUUCAACCAACAACCUCUUAGUUAGAUGGUAUCUUAUCCGAAUGGUCAAAUCUUGUCAAAAACAUGACAGGUGCCUGAACGUGUUUAAUUAUUUACAAGUACGAGCAAGCAGAGCGGAGAAAUGUACCUUGUCAUCAACAAAUGCAGCCCAGAAUCGAG